This 71-nucleotide transfer RNA is filed under the name Candidatus Omnitrophota bacterium. RNAcentral's name for it is "tRNA-Cys". It matches the Rfam family "tRNA". From Rfam's summary of the family: Transfer RNA (tRNA) molecules are approximately 80 nucleotides in length. Their secondary structure includes four short double-helical elements and three loops (D, anti-codon, and T loops). The record is from RNAcentral. Lineage: Bacteria; Pseudomonadati; Candidatus Omnitrophota.
GGCGGUGUUGCCGAGUGGUUAGGCAGCGGCCUGCAAAGCCGUUUACACCGGUUCGAUUCCGGUCGCCGCCU